This is a long non-coding RNA of Oenanthe melanoleuca, 595 nucleotides long. RefSeq lists it as uncharacterized. The record is from RefSeq and is a predicted model, not a curated record. Lineage: Eukaryota; Metazoa; Chordata; Aves; Passeriformes; Muscicapidae. The transcript has 3 exons.
ACCAGCACAGCCUCUCCUACCUUUGGGAAAUCUUUUCAUCUUCCUCUUUACCUGUUCCAUUUUACUGCAUUCUUUUGUGAAGAAGGAAGCCUGAAAAUGCAUACAACACACCAGAUUAUUUUUAAAUGUUGAACCGUUGAAGGCCCAGAACAAGCCCUUUUAAAGCCCUUUGAGAUCUGCCAUUUACACAGCGUUCCAUCCAGCUCACCAUCCACUUGUACAGCCCUCACUCCCUGAGUUUGCCUUCGAGGAUAUCAUGAGAAGCAGCAUCAAAAUCCUUGCUGAAAUCCAGUCCUCACACACGUCUCCUGACUGCCAUGACCAUUCCAAGGUGAAUGAGAGAGGCCAAGAUAUGGUGUCCUUCCAUUCCCUCAGCACUUGCAGGUGCACCCCAUUAGGACGAACUUGUGGAUGUCAAGGUUUGACUAAAUGAUCUCUAACCUGAUCCUCUUCAACCAAGGGAAAGUUGUCAUCAUUUCCAAUGACAAGAGGGUAUGAAACCUCACAACCAUUACAUUGAACUAUUUUGCCAUGAAAAUAUUUCUUUCUCCUUUGUGAGUGUUUACAGCAAAGUGAUUGUAAAGAAAACCAAGUA